GCCACUGUACUCCAGCCUGGGUGACAGGGAAAGACCCUGUCUCCAAAACAACAACAACAACAACAAAAAAAACCCGUCCGGUUUUUACUUUGUAUUCUUUAACACAGUUGUUCAAUUUGUUAGGGUGCUGAAAGUAUAGGGUAAUUUUUAAGUUUUACGUCUAUUAAUUUUGUAGUGUUGUUUUUACAAUAGCUUAACAAAAUUUUAUUUUUGUUGAGACAGGGUCUCGCUGUUGCCCAGGCUGCAGUGCAGUGGUGAGAUGUUGGCUCACUGCAGCUUCUGCCUCCCAGACUCAUGUGAUCCUCCUACUUCAGCCUCCUGAAUAGCAGGGACUACAGGCCACAGCAUAGAACAUCUCCAGCUUAGACACAGUCUCGUUCCUAACUGCCAGUUCUCAGCCACAAUGGCUCAAAGAAGCCGAAGGCUCUGGAUGGAAGAAAAUUGCUUUCCACAGGCAAAAAUGGAAGAUAUCUGCACACACUGCAAGUGCACAGACAUCAGAAGAGAGCACUGCAUUCCACAUGGCAUCCAUCUGGUAUGAAACCCCGCAUUUUUUAAUAAACGAGAAGCCUGUUCCAUAUAUAGGGAGACUCCUGAAAA
Long non-coding RNA from Homo sapiens (human), 600 nucleotides. RefSeq lists it as uncharacterized. Lineage: Eukaryota; Metazoa; Chordata; Mammalia; Primates; Hominidae. The transcript has 2 exons. The record is from RefSeq and is a predicted model, not a curated record.